UUGUGUACGACCCCUUAGAUGUGUUGUCCGUUGUCAAAUGUUUGUACUGUUCAGUCUGUAGAGGCCCGUAAGGUCGAAGACGGUGUAAUUGUCUUUUUUUAAUUGUCUUUUUUAAAAACUUUCAAGCUUAGAUAGCUAUUUUCGAAAUAUGUGUUUUACUAAGAGUAGUUCCAUGUGUUACCUGUGAUCGAAAGCCGUUAAGGUAAUAAAGCCAAUUAUUUUAAAUUAGCUCAAUGAUUGUUGUGAACUGCAAUCACUUUCUUCUAACAUUUUUAUCGCUUCAAUAUUAAGCCUGCACCAGAACUACAAGAUUAAUUUGCAGAUAUUACAGAUUCCAGGAGUCCUCAUGAAAACGCAUUGGCUAAUUACCCCAAUUUCUUCUAGUAUGUGAAAAAACACAACUCGGAAUGAUCUCACCCAGUUCCAUGUCGUCGGAUGACCGCAACCACUCCUUAACUCCUUCAAUUUUCUGCAAUACUGGUUACUAUCAUUUUUAUCACUUCACGAGGAAGGACAAUGUGCACCUGCCCCAAACACAUGUCACUUUUCACUUUUUCCUUCGAACAAUGCAACGCGACCGAGAUUUUCAUCGCAACUGCUCCAAACACGCGUCAUUUUUCAGGGCUUGGCUGGAUGAAUUAGUUCACAUAAAUAUAAAUUAUCGAUCCCCACAACGUUCAUGAAUAUCCAUGCCUCAAGCUAAGUUUCCUGUUCCCAAGUAGAGCACUCAAGUAAAAUUCCUGCUUUUUCGCAAGUAAUUUUGACAACUGAUAUAGUAUAUAGCAGGGCCCAUAUAGCCGAGGCGGUAAACUCACGGGUAUUCAGCAUGAUCAUGCUGAGGGUGACGGGUUCGAUUCCCGGUCGGUCCAGGAUCUUUUCGUAAAGGAAAUUUCCUUGACUUCCUUGGGCAUAGAGUAUCUUCGUGCCUGCAACACGAUAUACGCAUGCAAAAUGGUCAUUGGCAGAGGAAACUCUCAGUUGAUAACUGUGGAAGUGCUCAUAGAACACUAAGCUGAGAAGCAGGCUUUGUCCCAAUGAGGACGUUACGCCAAGAAGAAGAAGAAGAACAGUUUGGGGAAUAAUAGCACGGACUAUUUUCCCGCGCGGAAAAGUGACAGCUCCAUUUUAUUUCCAUGAGAAGCGUUACUGGCAUUACAUUUUUCCUUACUUGCCAUCUGCGAACUGAUCACGUGAUUUUAAUGCAGAUUACUUGACCUUUCCUUGUCCUAUCUUUUUGCACGGCACUCACCAGUUGGAAACUAGCCUUAAAGACUGAAGUAGCGAGGAAUAAAUUAUACAGCAUCCCAUUAAUAUUGAUUCCUCACUGAACAGAACAGCAGCGAGUUACCCCAACGACGAACGGAAGAGAUUACACAAAGAGUUCAAGAGUGAUUGAUUAUCCCGCAUCACAAUGCGACUAUUUACUGGAAAAGACGGCGUAGAUUUGUUUAUCGCCGUGAGGCAAAACAUGCGUUCUCACUCUUACAUGUGGCUAUCUCCAAGGUUUUUAUAUAUUGUAAGGUUGAGCAUGACGUUUAGUUUGUGGAGAAAAGCAGAGGAAGCGAAACUUCAAAGGAAUUUGAGGAGGCGGGGGAUUUGUUUUCAGAAUUUCUCACGGUGAAAAAAUAAUGGUCGCUCAGCCAGUUUUGACAUCUAAGACUACCUAAGAAUAUGUAAAUACCUUGGCUAUCUCUAGCGUGCGCAGAUUUUUCUUUUUUUCUCCCUCAUUCUCGUAAGCAAACGCGAGAGAGAAAAGGAGAAAGAGCACUUACCCCCUCUUUUAUCUCGCUCUUUUUUCACUCAGCCAAAAAGAGUGAGCGAGAAAACAGAUAAAGCUACGCCCGCUAGAUGUUGAGAUACAUUUGUUUCUGUGGCUGGAAGUUUGUGCGUUUGUUCCGUUCAUUUCGCAGCAAGCGAAGGAGAAAGAAACUGGCAUUCCUCGAUUCAACCUGCUCCGACGAGUGAUGAAUACUUACGGCUUCGGUUGUUCUUGAAUAUACUUUAGCAUCGGGCAUUCGCACCAAAUGAGAGUCUAAUAAAGGUGUGGAAAAAGAUACUUCGUGUGCGAUAGAUCCGCGUUUGAGGCUACUAUUGAAAGCAAAGCCAGCUUCUUGAUUCGCAUCCACCGGUGGCUAUUAGUGUUUUUUAGUUGCUACCUUUGAUCUUCGUGUGGCAAACGGUGCAAUCUGCGAUGGUGCGAUAUCUCGAAGAGUGAACGAAAAAUGUGCUUCACAGCAGCAUGGGAUUUAGUAAUUCGUUCAAUUUUGAAUGAAAGUUCUGCUAAUUGUACAUAAAAUAAUGCAGUAACAAAAGCAACGACGCAUGGGGAUGAGUUCAGGUGGAAGUGGGAGGAUUCGUAUUUAAUAAUGUUGUGUUUUCAAGGAGUUUUUAGUGAAAUUUCAGGAUGUUUCAGGGGGUUAGAGGGGGUUUUUAAGAGUUUCAGGCGUAUUAGGAGGGGUUAACAGGGGAUUUGAAGGGAUUUCUGGGCGUUUUUAAGCCUUUUCAUAAGUGGGUUUCAGCCUUGAGGCGAAAUUAAAAGCAUUUCCUCACUUUUUGGUUUUUUGUUUUUUUUUUAUCAAAUAACGAAGCAUUAUUUUCGUUUUUCGUACACAGUUCGAGGAAGGAUCAACAUAUCUCCUGAUUUUUUUUCAGGUGAAAAAUGUUUUUCAGUUUUAAGGAAACCAUUUUUGAAUGAAAUUUAAAAAAAAAUAUGGUUUUUGAAAAAUUGGUAAAAAUUUUACACCUGAAAAAAAUCCAGGAGAUAGCUCAACCCUUCUUCUGUGUUCAAAAAACGAUUUUGAAAAAUAUUGCUUCGUUAUUUAAUAAAAAAAAAAUCAAAAACCAAAAAAUGAGGAAAUGCGUCCAGUUUCGCUUUAAGGUUCAAGAGGUUUCAGGGGGUUUCAGGGGGUUCUUUUGUAGCUUAGAGGUUGUUUCAAAGAGCUUACGCUCACUUUAUUUGCUCCAAACUCAGUUUACGCCCUCCAUUUAUGCAUUGAUUCCCGAAUAACACUCCCCCAAUUUACGCUCCUUGGGAGUAAACUGGGAGUAAGCUGGGGUCUUGGUAUUCGGGAAUAUUUAACAUGUGAUACAGAUGUAUAAUGGAAGUUUGAAGUUGUUUCUCAAACUGUUGUUGUCUGAAGGAGCACUACCACCAGCAAAGUUGCAAAAUUUAGUGGUUCCCAAUCCUGAAUGACGGGCCACGCAAACUUUUCAAGAUCCGAAAGUUCUAGAGGAGUGUGAGAUUUUUUUUUUUUGAUUCUACGUCUCAAGGAGCAUAUACAUUAUACAUACAUUGCAUGUAUUAUACACAGUAAUCUGUGCAGUGGUUCUCAAGCAGAGGCAACGGGCCAUGCUAAUUUCUCCAUUACCGAAAGUGCGAUUAAAAUGUGAAAAUGGGUUUUAAAUUAGUACUAUCCGUGUAUUAAAAAUCAAGUCAAUUGGUACAAAUUUUACUGAGUUAAAGCAAAACAAACGCCUCGUACAAAAAAAAAAAUAAUCUGAUGUAUUCAGAUUCUGCGUCUCAAGAAAUUACUACAAUACAGUGGCGUGGCAAAACUCAGUGGUUUUUCAAGCUGUGGUGACGGGCCAUGAUGAUUUUGCAAGAAUCGAAAGUCCGAGGGGAAGGUGUGAAUGUUUCUUUUAGAUUCGACGUCUCAAGUAGCACUUAAUACAAUAAAUUGGUGUUACAAAGCUCAGUGGUUCCCGUGGCUGUGCUAAUUUCGCAAGAACCGAGAGUCCGAGGAGAUGUGAAUGCUUUUUGGACUCUAUAUUUCAACGAGCAAUAAUUUUAAUAGAGUGGUGUUGUGAACCUCCGAGACCCCAGGGCCAGGAGUCCUUGUUGAAACCUUUCGAUAACCUCUGAAACACCCCUUAGACCACCUGAAACGCCUCUGCGAUCCGCUGGAACUCCCUGAGAACCCCUGAAUGACAACUGAGAGGAGCUUUGCUUGGAGCCCCUUGAGAACAGCUGAAAUGACACUGAGACCCUCUAAAAUGCCACUGAGGUUCUUGCGAAGUUUUUGUGGCCCGUGAAUCCAGAUUAGAAACACUUUGCCACUCAACCAUAUUGUAUUCAGUGCUCCGCGAGGCGUGAAUUAUAAAAAAAAAACUAUUAUUUUCGUUGCAAUGGCAUAUAAGGGGGUUUCAGGGGCACUUCAGACGAUCCAAAGGGGUUUCAGGAGUACCUAGAGGUCUCUGGGCGUUUCCAAAGAGUUUGAGGGGGUCUCAUGGAAGUUCCUGGGGCCUCUAUAGUCAUGGCUAAUAAUGCACACUACCGUCACACACCAAAUUCAUGCUUCAUUCGAUGCAUGAAUGUUAUUUGCCUUUAGUAUAAGUACCAUAUUGCACCACAAUUGUAACACAAGUCAAGUGGAGAAUGAAAUAACAGUUUCUCAAUGUAGACCUGGUGUUCCAGUUGUUCAUAAAACUGCAAAAGAAUCAUACGGGUAAUUUGAAAACCGGAACUGUGAGAAUGUGGAAACAUUGAUUUUUGGGUCAGGUUUCAGGGGCGUAUUUAGGUGUCUGAGGGGGUUUUAGAAAACAUUGCAGAGAUUUCUUGUGCAUACAGACGGGUUUUGGAGGUGCUACAGGUGCGUUUUCGGUAAUUGUGGAGGGUCUCAUGUGCAUUACCUACCUACCGAGGGGGUUUAAGGGGAAUUAGCCAUGAUAUCAUUUAUCAAUUUCUGCACAAAACUCCUACUUUUUACGCCCUCUUUUAAUGUUUGCACAUUAAGGUGGCCCACACUUAUAUGAAAAACAAAAAUUUUGAAAAAUAUCAAGUCUUACCUCCUAAAUCAGUUGUUUUGAACUCCCAGAAGCUACGUUCAAAAUUUGAGCAAAAUCGGUUGAGCCUAAGGGGGCGCUCAAAACGCUUGAAGUUUGUAUGGGAAAACUUGGCCAAAUGUAUGCAAAAAUUUUAAGUUUUCGAAUUUUGCCGCUAGGUGGCGCUAUAAGCGUUCAAAAAUCCAACCCUUUGGUAUUAUUGUAGGUGACUAUAUGCCAAACAACUUUGUUGAAGACCGCAAAGUGAUCCAACACCUGUGAAAAAAGUUAUACCCUAGGUAAAGUGCAGACAACAAAGCAGCUGGAGCAGAUCAACUACCAAGAAAGCUUCUAAAAUAUGGUGGAGAAACACUGGUGAGAGCACUACACCCCGGUUCAUUACCAAGAUUUGGGAGGAGGAAGAAUUACCGGAGGAAUGGUUGGAAGGUAUCGUGUAUCCCAUCUUCAAAAAAAGCGGCAAGUUGGAUUGUGGGGACUAUCGCGCGAUCACACUACUGAGCGCUGCCCACAAGAUACUCUCUCAAAUUUUAUGCCGCCGUGAUGAUAAACAAUUGCAAAAGAGUUCGUGGGGCAAUAUCAGGCUGGAUUCAUGGGUAAACGCGCUACAACGGACCAGAUGUUCGCCAUCCGCCAAGUGUUACAGAAAUGCCACGAAUACAACGUGAACACACAUCACUUGUUCAUCGAUUUCAAAUCGGCGUAUGAUACAAUCGAUCGAGAACAUCUAUGGCAGAUUUUGCACGAAUACGGAUUCCUGGAUAAACUUAUACGAUUGAUCAAGGUAACGAUGGGUCGAGUGAUUUGCGUAGUUUGAGUAUCAAGGACACUCUCGAGUCUCGAGUGAUCGUCUUUCGCUUGCUGUUUAGCGUUGCUUUGGAAGGUGUAAUAAGGAGAGCUGGGAUAAACACGAGUUAAACGAUUUUCACGAAGUCCGUUCAGCUGCUUGGUUUUGCUGAUGAUAUUGAUAUUAUAUCUCGUAAAUUUGAGACGAUGGCGGAAAUAUAUAUUCGAGUGAAGAAUGAAGCCAGGCGAAUCGUAUUACUCAAUAAUGUUUUGAAGACAAAGUACAUAAUGCCAAAGAGCUCCAGGGAGGAUUCAUUGCGCCCGCCACCACGAAUUUUUAUCGACGGUGAUGAAAUCGAGGCGGUGGAAGAAUUCGUGUACUUGUGCUCACUGGUGACCACCGAAAACGACACAAGCAGAGAGGCAUUGUGGCAGGAAAUCGAGCUUACUUUGGACUCCGCAGAACUCUACGAUCGAACAAAGUUUGCCGUCACACGAAGCUAUCUACAAAACGCUUAUUAGACCGGUCGUCCUCUAUGGUCACGAAGCAUGGACUCUACGUGCAGAAGCUCAACGCGCCCUUGGAGUUUUCGAACGGAAGGUGCUGUGCACCAUCUACGGUGGAGUGCAGAUGGAAGACGGGACAUGGAGAAAGCGAACUGCAUCACCUGCUGAGAUAACCAACCAUCGUCAACACCACGAAAAUCGGGAGACUACGGUGGGCGGGUUACAUCAUCAGGAUGUCAGAUAGCAACCUGAAAAUGGUUCUCGAGAGUCAUCCGACUGGUACAAGAAGACGUGGUGCGCAGCGAGUUAGGUGGGUUGAUCAAGUGGAGGACGAUUUGCGGUCACUUCACAGAGUGCGGAACUGGAAACGCACAGCCAUGGAUUGCUUCGUUUCGUAUCGUCUUGAAAAAAUCCCAUAUCGCAUACCCUCACAGCUGAGGUAGAAGAAACAUGAGGGAGCAAAGGAGGCCUGGACCGUCACCGUCGUCCGUCAUCUUCGUCCCGGUCCGAGUGAAGUGGGCAGUUAGUACCUAGUGCAUCGCACCAACACAGGUAACCGAGCGGACGCAUUCACGACGCACGCAUUCACGGUCGAUUCGAUGAUGGUUGCUUCGAUCAUUACCAAAAACGAGGACCCUGAUGCGCUGCGGGGACUUGCUGGGGACAGGGAAGGAAGAAAAUUUCGGAAACGAAACAAAAGAGAAAGGUGUGGAAAGGUUCUGGUAGGUGAGCGGAGCGCGAAUAGUGCGUUCAAGAUGAAAACGGAAAACACAGCCGGGGAAAAUCCGAACGGAACGAUGCGAAAUGGGAUGCACAAGAAAGUUUGCAAUUGUGGCGGCGACAUGAGGAUGGGUAAUUGUAACGUGUUUUGCCACCCGGAACCUUGUGGAACGUCGGAACGGGAGGAAAAUUGUUGCCAGAGUGGAAAUCAAUCUUCAAUAGAUGAAAAAUCCGAACCCGAAAUAAAUUAUUCAUAAUAAUAAGUGGCAGCUAUAUUAUAACUCAAAAACUUAUCUACUUUAGUCCGAUAUAAUCAUUGGCUAUCGUAAUGAUUAAUAGGUAAUGUCUGAAAUAGCCAUUUUUAAACUAAUGUAGUAAGUAGAUCGAGAUUAUUAUGCUAGAUAACUUUGCAAUAUAGAUUAUUUAAAUUUAUGACAGUCACCAGAUUUAAAAUUUGAGAUUAAAAUUAAUUUUCAUCGAAAUGAAAUCUAAAUCCAAGUAACCAAGUUUCUAGUCGAUUCACACACCGGCAACCAACAACACACUCCUCGCCACGGCAUUAUUCUAUCCAAUUUUAUUAUUUUCAAUGCCGUCGUCCACCCGUCGACGUACCAUUUUUAAGUCGCAGUAACUACUCCCAGCCGCGCGAGAUUCAAAUAAAUUAAAUAAACAUUACUACUUUUUACUUGCGCGCACACUUUUACCAGCCGCUUCUAGAGCAGGCAAACUUUUUUGCGCCGAUUCGCUCAUCCAUCCGUCUCUAUCCAGCAGCCUAUGAAUGCACUGCACGCAGAACUAAUGUGCAAUAUUCGCGGAGCGGAGUCGAUGCAGAUGAGGUAAUAAAAAAACAACAAACGACUCUUCCUGGAUUGCCUUCGUAUUCGCAUGGCUGGCUGCGCUGCCAACACUGCUAGAUAACUGCCUCCCAUCCCGACCCGAGAUGGUCAUCGUUGCAGAAUCGCAGCAGCCCGUGGCGAGCCACCCACCCACAUGCAGCAACGUAGCUAGUAGUAGGCCGUUAGGACCCAAUAACUAGUGUGGCACGCGCGCGCCAGGAUACCAAGGCGAAAGCCACCCCAUCCCUGAUCCCACUCCACGAAGAACAAGAAGAAAGCAAACGUCUUAAAAUGCGGCGGGGAGGAGGAGCGUUUCGCUUUCCACCGCACGCGACUCUUUCCCUUUCGUUGGGAGAACUUCUGCUGCUGGCUUCAUUCUCCCAUUCUGACGGUGUAUGCAUGCAUAUGAACCGAACAGGAGGAAGUGUCUUGAAGGAAACAAUUUAGAUGAACAAAUCAUGAUGAUCCCAUUCCCAAGUAACAUUUUGAUGACAAUAGUUUUGUAGAGGUUUUUAGAACCGUCAUCAACCUAAUUCCUUUUAUUUUGGUUUUAUGAUCCCGGUGGCUGCGUGCGAGUAGUUCUGCCUAGUAAGAGUUUGUUUCGUGAGUUGUCGUUAAAGGUUCAUGCAGAGUGGGCGGAUUCUACAGAAUCUUCAUAGAGGCGACUCACUUGGAGCACACUUGGAGAGUGGUACAUCACGUAAGGAAUAUCGGUGAUCCUUUCAAGGCUGCAAAGCUUAAACAUUCUUCCAGCAGUUACUUCAAAAUCCCUAAAUCCAGGAUUUUUUCUAGGAAUUCCUUAAAAGAUUUCUCCAGAAAUUAUUUGACGAAUUUCUCUUAAAGUAUCUUGAGGGAUUUCUCCAGGCAGUCAUUCCAUCAGGGAUUCUUUCAGUAACUUUUUCCUGAGAUUCCUCCAGCAAUUUCUUCAAAGAUUUCUUCUUGAUUUUAUUAGUAAGUUUCUUCUGGAAUUCCUUGAGGGGUUUCUCCAGAAAUGAUUUCAGGGAUUUUUUUUUAUCUGUAUUAACGAGAUUUUUAACCCUAGGCUAGUUCAUCUCGGGACCCACGCUUUACUUCCCUUCCGAAGGAAGAACCCACAUUUUGUGAGUAUGUCGGGAGUGGGAUUCGAUCCCAGGUCCUCGGCGUGAUAGUCAAGUGUUCUAACCAUCACACCAGGAUAUUGCGUGGAUUCCUACAUGAGUUUCUUUUGGACUUCCUCUGGAAAUUUCUUCAGGGGUUUUCCCUGAAAUUCUUUGAGAGAUUUCUCCUUCAAAAAUUCCUCCAGGAACUUCUUCAAAGAUUUGUUCUCAAAUUCACUCUGGAACUUCUUCUUGAGCUCCAAAUGAAUCCUUGUUAAAACUCCUAGAGAAAUCCCUCAAGAAAGUGCUACAGAUAUUUCUUUUUUGAAAUCCCUCAGGGAUUUUUCCUCGCAAUCUUUAAGAGAUUCCUCCUGUAAUUGCUGGAGGAAUUUCACCUGUUAUUGCUGGAAUGAUUUUUCCAGGAACUCCUUCAGGGAUUUCUCCAGAAUUACUUUCAGAGAUUGUUUAGGAAUUUCUUUAGAGAUUUUUCUUGAAACUGCUGGAGAGAUUUCUUCAGAUAUUCCUUCAAAUAUUCCUCCAGGAACUCCUUCAGGGAUUUUUCCAGGAACUUCUUUGCAUAAAUUUCUUCGGGUUCUCCUUCAGGGAUUUCUUCACGGAUUCAUCAACGAGUUCCUUCAGAGAUUCCUUUAAAAGCUCCGUCAGGGGUUUCCCCUGGAGUUCACUCAGAGAUUCCUCCAAAAAGUUCCUCAUUUAUUCCUGCAGGAAUUCCAUCAGGGAUUGAUUGAGAAAGUUCUUCAGUGAAUUAACCAAGAUUUUCUUCUUGAAUUCCUCUAGGAAUACCGUAAGGGUUCAUCCAGAAAUGUCUUCAUGGUUUCCUCCAUAAAUCCGGGAUUCUUCUUAUAUUUUUUCAUGGAUUCUACCAGAAGUUUCUUGAAAGAUUGCUUCUGGAUUUUCUUCAGGGAUUCAUCCAGGAUUUUUUUCUAGGAAUUUCUCAAAAGAUUUCUUCUGGAAUUCUUUGAGGAAUUUAUUUGAGAUUAAGAAUUUUUAGGAUUAGGAAUUUCUAAGAUUACUUCAGGAGUUUCUUCAGUACCCUUGAUUUUCUUGACAGAUUUCUUCUGGAAUUCCUUAAGGAAUUUCUCCAGACACUUUUGCAGAGAUUGCUCCAGAAAAACCGUCCAUAUUUAAUUUGAGAAUAAUUUCAGGGAUUUUUCGUGGAUUCUUCGAGAAAUUUCUGUUUAAAUUUCUCAAUGAUUUUUUCAGAGAUUUUUCCUGGGAUUCUUUGAGGGAUUCCUCCUUCAAGGAUUCCUCCAGGAGCUACUUUUCGCAUUUGUCCUGCAGCUCCUUCAAUGACUCGUUCUUCCAGGAAUGACUUGAAGGAUUUUUCAAGGAAUUUCUUUAGAAUUUUUUGCCUGGAGGCCCUUGGUGUUUUAUUUCUGGAAUUUCUUGAGGGACUCCUCCAGAAACUCCUUCAGAGAUGUCUACAGGAGUUUUUUCAAGGAUGCUCCAGAAAGUGCUUCAAGGGUUUCUCCAGGAUUUUUUUCAGGUGUGGUAUAUUCCAGUAUUCUUGACAACACUGACAUGCCAUGCUGCUACGAUGUUAGCAAUUAAGAAAGUCUAAGAAAUAUUAUGAAUAAAGCACUAGCCAUUAUUGUCAGAACCAACGUAGAGAGUAGUUCCAUUCUUCAAGAGAACUCCUGUGGAAAACAUAAUCUACCUCACAAGGAUUCCUUCAGGAAUUCCUUCUCGGUAUUCUUCCGAGGUUUUUUUUUCUGUAUUUCUUUGAGGAGUUUCUCCUGAAGUUGCUGAAGAAAUUUCUCCUGUAAUUACUGGAGAUAUUUUUCCAGAAACUCCUUAAAGAAUUUCAUCAGGGAUUCUUUCAGAAAUUCUUCGGGGAUUCCUCUUAGAACUUUUCAGGGAUUUCUUCCUUAUUUGCUAGAAAGAUUUCUCCAGAAAUUUCUUCACAGAAUCCUCCAGGAACUCCUUCGCGGAUUUUUCUGGGAAUUCCUUCAGGGAUUUUUCUUGGAAUUACUUUAAGGAUUUUUCCAGAAACUCCUCCAGGGAUUUCUCCAUUUAUUAAUUAAUAGGUUUCUCCAGAUAUUCGGUCUGGAAUUUCUCCAGGAACUCCUCCAGGAACUCUUUCAGGGAUAUCUUCUGGAGUUUUUCUUUCAUUGAUUUAUCCAGAAAAUUUUCAUGUAUUUCUCCUUAAAAUCUCCAUCAAUAAUUUUCCCCGGUAUUCUUCGAUGAAUUUCUCCUGGAACCGCAGGAGAUUUUUACAGGAACUCCUUCAAGGUCACAUUCUUUCAGAACUUUCUUCAGAGAAUUCUUUAGAAAACCCGUGAGGUGUUUCAUUUAAGGCUUCCUCCAGGGAAUCCUACGAAAAUACCUUCAGGGAAAUUUCUCAGGGAUUGCUGGAGAGAUAUAUCCUUUCUUUGCUGCAGUGAUUUUUCCAGGAACUUCUUCAGGGGUUCUUUAAGGAACUCUUCCAGCAAUUUCUCUAGGGGUUCCCCAUGAUGUUCGUCCAGUGAUUCCAUCUGAUUUUUUUUUGUGAUUUCUCUAGAAGUUCUAUCAAUGAUUCCUCCAAAAGUUCCCUCCCGGAUUCAUCCACGAGUUCCUUAUGUGGUUUCUCCUGAAGUUCCUCUAUAUAGGAGCGUUUUUCAGGGAUUCUUGCACGAGAUCUUUCAGGAAUUCCUCCAAGGAUUCCUCCUGGAGCACACUAAACAACGCGAAGUAAAGAGAACGCGUCCCAACAAACAUGUUUGCUGUACAACGGCUGAAUAAACCGCUCUUAAGCUUGAUUUUAAAAAAUCUUGGCUGAAUAAGCUGAAGUUAUUCAGCUAUCAUUGUUAUUUGGGCGUGACAGUUUUGAAAAGGCAGCCGCUCGCGCGCAUAGCUUGCAACAAUCUCCUACAACUUCGUCCAGGAAUUUCUUCAGAUACUCCCCUUGAUGUAUUUUCAAAAGGAUUCCUUUGGAAAACUAUUGAACAACUCUUCCUUGUUUAUUUUUUAGAAAAUGUUUGAAAAGUUCCUUCGGAAAUUUAUCCAGUAAUUCUUGCCUUGAUCCUUUCAAACAUUCGUUCGGACAUUUUAUGGAGGGAUUCCUUCAGAAAAUCAUUGAUUACUUUAGAAAUUUCUUCAGAAUUUCUGUAGGGAUUUCUAAAGAACAUUCUUCACACAUUUCUCCAGUAAUUCUUCUAUGUUGUUUUUUUUAAUCUUCCAAAACCUACUUUGAAAAUGCCUGAAGAAACUUCUCUUGAAAUUUUUCCAAGGACUCCACCAGAAAUUCCGAUAAUAAUUUCUGCACAGGUUUUUUUAAACAUCUUCCAUCGAUUAAUUCCAAAACUAUCUUCAAGGAUAGCUAUAGAAAAUCUUCCAAGUAAUUAAUAGGCAAUAAAUAAUAAAUAAAAUCAACGGCUAUGUAUUAUAGAGUGGUGGUGACGCAUGGUCAAUCAUUCCAUACGUAUAUGCGCAACAGGCUUGAAAAUUAAAAAAAAAAUGCUUCUCCAAAAAGGCUUGAAGAAAAUUUCUAAUAUUUUGAUAAAUUACGUAAAAAGAGUUAAGCUUUCGGUCAAAAAAAAAUAAAAAAAAAUACAUAGCCGUUGUGGUCUAACAUUGCACAGUGGGAAAAAAUAGGUAUAAAACGCGAAUAAAUUCAAUAUCUCUGCUCGGAGUGGAUGGAUUCGAAUGAAUUUUUGACACAAACUGUAAAAGUCUCUAUAGUUUCAGAUAAGGAGGGUGUUAUUCGCCGCACGAUGCUGGAAAUCAGUGCACUGGGCUCGUUUAACCCCGUUCUCUCUUUCUCACAUCUUUUUAGGAUAAUCCUCAUCUAUUCCCGCACGCAGAAAAAUGACGCUUGUUUGAAGCAAUAAAACGCUUGGUUGAUUUUCGAACUGAGAAUUUACUUAUUCCUAAGUUAUAUUUCUUUGCUCUUACUUAGAGUUUAUCGAUAAAAACAAUCAAUUACCACAGUUCCAUAUAACGUUAAAAACUUCAUUUGUUUCUACAAAAUGGGGACUACAAACAUGGCCCGGAAGCACUCACACAUGUUUAAAGUUCUUACCCCAACAUCGCCACAACGAGGAAAGUGUAGCAAAUCCAUCACCUCAACUUCCAAGUGCCGUUUUGGCCGUGAUGGAUAACGCGCAGGUACUCAAAACAGCAUCCACAAAAACUUGGUCUGUUUCACCUUUUUGUCUUUUUUUUAUCCGUUCUUGUUCUCACCCACUUGCCGAGUGUCUAAAAAUAGGUUUCCGAGCCGCCGCAGGAGCUGCCGUCACCAACACCAUCACAUUCCUUCUUUGUUAGUAUCCAAAGUGCAGUCGUUUGAAACAAUCCAUUAUUUUAUGUUGAAACAACCAAAGCUCUGUUUGUUUUAACAAACUGUCAAAAAUAUCGACAAAUAAAAAUAUUUGUAUUAUCAAACAAUGGAAGUUCAAAUCAGUUCAAAUUGAAAAUCAGUUUGUCGCUAUAGUAAACUGAAAAAUCGGUUGAUUUGAUCUAUAAUUUAAUUGUGUUUACAAUUUAUUUUUCUGCGUGCGCCUGGUGUGCAAAAUAAAUGCUUUAUUUAACUCGUAUUUGUGUAAAAACUUCCAUAGUAUCGGGAGUUUGACAUAGGGUUGGUCCUGCUCUUGUGGAUUGCGUUUUAUUUCGGGAGAAGAUGCAUAAGACAUUUUAAAGAACUAGGGGAUGUCGUGGUUAUUUGAAGAUAUUUCAAUUUUUCAGGCCGUGCGGUGAGCCAAACCAGCUCCAUUCGAUACGGAAGUUUUUACACAAAUAAGAAUCAAAUAAAUCAUUUAUUUUGCACUCCACGAUUUUUCCAAAAAAGGUGAAAAUAAGUGUGAGGGGGAUAAAACGGGCCCAGUAUAAUGAUUUCCAGCAUCGUUCGGCGAAUGACACCCUCCUUAUCUGAAACUCCUUAUUUGAAACUGAUAUUUUGACGAUUUUUGCGUAUGAAAUAAUAAUAUUUUUUUUAGCGAUUUUUUUUCUUAAAUUUAGAACUAAUAAACUUUUUAUUCGUGAAAAAAACAUUGCAAAUCGGUCCAUUGGUUCAAAAGAUAUGACGUUUUGAAAAUAAAAAAAAAUGGAUAAUAAUAAAUAAUAAUAAAUUUUGGACAACCAAAAAAAAUAAGGGUCUAAUUAUUUUUGGUAGAGAUUAUUCUCACCGAAUUAGAGCAAUAUCGGAACAUUUUUAUUUUUGAGUCUAUUAUUUUUUCAUUGAAUUUCUGAAUGUUUGUAUGGAUUGCUUCAUGGAAGAUUGCAUGGAUUAUUAUUCAGAAAAUCCUUCUAGGAUUCCUUGAGCAAAUCUUUCAAUUUCUUUUAUCAGAAAUUCUUCCAGAAAUUCACCCGCUACUUCCUCUACGGAUUGAUUCAAAAACUUCACCAAGGAAACAUUUGGAAUGUGGGGUUCCUUAGAAACUUCUUAGGCGUUUCCUUUAGAAAUUUUACAGGUAAUUUUUCUAGAGUUUUUUAAAGAUUUCAUGAGGAAACUUCUAUCUAUGUAAUUUCUUUGAAGGAUUAUAAAAAAAAUCCUAUAUGUAUUUCUCCAUAUUUUUUUUUUCUGAGAGGCUUCCCGGAAGUUUUCCAGAGAUCUCUUCAGAUGUAUGGAUCGAAAUCUCUCCAGGAUUUUUUUCUUCCAUGGCUGUUUUCCAAAAACAAAUAAUUUAUUCGGAAAUUUUCUCCAACGAUUUAUUCAGGAAUUCCUCCGGAGAUUCUUUCGGAAAAUAUUCGUGGGGUUGUUUUGGAAAUUCCUUCAAUCAUUUUUUUUUUCAUUCAAAUUUUUUAUACAGUUUUAUUUUACGGAAAUUUCUUCAAGGAUAACUUUAGGAAACCUUCCCUGCAUUUUCUCUGUAAUUUCUUCAAGGAGGAAUCUAGCAGAAAUCCCUCCUAGGAUUGAUUUGGAAAAUCUUCCACGGGUUCCUCAAAAAACUUAGAAGAAUUAUUCAAGAAAUUCUUCCAGGGACUUCUUCAGAAGUUCUUUUUUGAUUUCCUUCAGAAAUUCAUGAGGUUUUUAGAGAUUCUUUAACAAAAACGUCUAGGAAUUUCUCUAACCCUCCUAAGAUGUUAUGCUAGGCACACCACGAUAACGUUGUGUACAUUUAGCGAGCCUGUGUGAGUAAUAUUGACCCUAACAUCCUACUUGGGGUAAAAAUUCCUCCAGGGAUAACUUCAGACUCUUGAAUUUCCUCCAAAAAUAUUUCCAGGAACUCCUUUAGUACAAUCAAUGGUACAUAUUGCCUUUUACUGGUAUUUUACCAGAUUUGCUGGUGUACUGGAAAAACUUGUAAUAAGAAGGCACGAAAUAUUGCUUUUCGACGAAUUAAUAAAUUAAAUUUGUGGAAAAAUCGCGUUCUGGUGGGAUUCGAACCCACGACUCCGUAUUCGAUAGACCGACGCUCUGACUAACUAAGCCACAGAACAGAUAAUGAUUCUGCGGAAGAGAGAGCCAAGCUGACUUCGAAGCCACACCGUGAAUAUUCCUUUUUCACGAACUAUUUUUCCACAACACACUCGCGUUGGUGCCCACUAGCUACAAGUGAGAGCGAAGCAGAGACUUACUGUUACUUUCGCACUACGCAUAUCUAUUCACCAAGCAGUGUAUUGCUGAUGUCUAAUUAGUAAGGUACGGCGGGAUCACAUGAUGUUCUCUAUUCAUUAUCAACAAUUUGGUUGACAUACCACAUAGUCCUUGAUUCAAACAAUCUUUUAGCGAAGGAUGAAUUUAUAAAUUUUAUUGAAAUCUAUUUCAAAACUUCGCGUUUCAUCUUGUCCCGGUGUACCUUAUGCGUGGAGAGCUCUAACGACCAACUGCGCCGACGACGCAAACAAGGAUACAAUGGUGCAUGUUGCCCUUCAGUGGCGUUUUACCAGAUUUGCUCAUACAUUUGUAUGAUACAUAAUACCUGUUCUGUGGCUUAGUUGGUUAAAGCGCCGGUCUAGCGAAUACGGAGUCGUGGAUUCAAAUCCCACCAGAACGCGAUUUUUUUCACAAGUUUCAUCUCUCAAUUUGUCAAUCAGCAACAUUUAGUGCCUUUUUAUAACAAGGUUUUCCAGUAAACUACUUUAGCAAGUCUACCAUAAAUUGGUUUAGAAAUUAUUUCAUGGAUUACUUUCAAAGAAUAUUCCAAUGGUAACUUCAAAAAUAUGUUUCAUUGAUAAUCUUCAAGUAAAUCCUGCAUACAGGCCCGGAUUAAGGAUUGUGGGGGCCCGUGGGGUUUCUUUAAGGAAUUCCUCCAAAAAUUACUUCAGAUUUUCCUUCAUAAAAGUUCUGAUAGUGAAAUUGCUCGAAUGAUUUCUUUGGAAAGAAAUUUGUCUAGGGAUGCCUAUCUUCAAAGAAAUCUACAAGAAAUUCCUCCAUCUUAAGAAAUUAUUUCAGGGAAUCCUUCAUAAAAACAUCUAGAGAUCCCUGCGAUCCCAGGAUCCCCUGGGAAAAUGCCCAGGGGAAUUUCUGGAUAAAUUUAUGAAGAAAACCCUUGAAGAUAUCCUGGAGGAAAUCUUGAAGGAUUUACUGUAGGAUUUCCUGGAGAAAUCCCCGAAGCAAUGCCUGAAGGCAGAGUUGUGCAGUUUCAGGAUGGUUAAUGUCGAACGACACUCGCUUUAACCAUCACUUCAUAUGAAAAACGCAGUCCAUCAAAACAUAAUCGAUUCACGCAAAAGCCACUCAAGCCAACCCUCGUUCAAUGCAGAGUCAACCACAUCCAACAGCAGCGAUCGUCUCUUGUUUUCGAACCACACGAAGAAACACCGAAGCGAGUUUUUGUUCUACGCCUUGAAUUCAUAUUCAUAGGGCGUGCUGUGUUUGUGUUUGUUGCGCUAUGCAAUACGACUUAACAAAUUGACAUUCAUCCUGGCCCUUUCAGAUGAGAGUCACCCAGCAGUGAGUGACAUAGCUCUGCGUCGGAACGACUGUUAACAUGCGUUCGGUUGCUCAGGAGAUUUGUAAAGAAAGAGCGUGGUGGCGGCAGCCACCGUAUCAAUGCGUUCGUCUCGAAUGUGUUCGUUAGCAACAUACACAGCAAAUAAUUUUGUAAUAUCCAGGCGCGUAAUUUCUGGUGAUGUAUUCAUUUUCGAACGUAAUUUCACUCGGUUACAUCGUUUUCCAACAAUUAUCACACUCUCCAUGCACACCCUGGUUGGCACCGGAAAGUAUCAACAAACCCAUUCCAGCAGAAACCUAGAAGCAGUAUCAUAUUUAUCAACUUCCUUCUAACUCGGUAAAAUAGUCGAGAGGUAAGGGAUAUGCCUCACAAUCAACGGAUCAGUGUACGAAUCCAUGCCAAUAUUUUACUUAUAUAUGAUUCAUCUAUAGAUCCGGUUCUAGCGAUUGCCAGACCCACUCUCAAGCAGCGGCAGCUAAUUUGUUGCAUGAAAAUGAUGUAAUUGUUUACAUCACUUCUACGACGCGACUGAUGUGCAGCGAAAAUGAUGUGAUAUCACAAGAAUUUUUUUGCUGUGUAGAGACGUUCGGCUGUGGCGUUGAUGGAGAAAGAAGAGCAAUGUUGAUGUUGCGGCUUUUUCGGGUUAUGAUGAUGAUAAUGCACAAGACUGCCUGGAGGAAUCUCUGGAAAAAAUACUGGAGAAACCUCUGGAGAAAUACAUGGGAGAACCGUUGGAGGAAUUCCUGGCACAAUUCCUGGAAGAAUCUCUGGAGGAGUUCUUGAAGGAGUUCCUGAAGGAAUCCAUAACGCGAUUCCUGAUUGGUUGAUUGGCUUUUCUAUAUUAUAGAGAAUUUCAGCCCUUGGUUGGUUCGUCUCUCAUCUAAUCAAGCAAUUACUGAGGGAAUCCCUUGAGAAAUCCAGGGAAGAUUUUCUUAAGAAAUCCCCAGAGAAAGUACUGAAGAAAUCGCAGUAGAAAUUCCAGGAAAAAUCCUGAAGGGAUUCCUGAAGGAACGCCUGGAGGAAUCCCUAGAGAGUUCCCUGGAUAUUCCCUGAACAAAUUCUGCAUGCCUGGAAGAAUCCCUAGAGGAAUGUCUAGGGGAACUUCUGGAAAACUCUAGAGGAAUUCCUGAAGGACUGUUUAGAAGAAUUCCUAGAGGAAUUCCUAGAGAAAUUUCUGAAGAAAUUCAUGGAGGAAUUCCUGGAAGAACCCCUGGAGGGAGUACUGGAGAAUUCUCUGGUGGAAUCUUAUGAAGAAUUGCAGGAGGAAAUCCUGAAGGAAUCCUAUUAAGAGUUCUUGGGGCAAACUCCUAGAGGAAUCCCUGUAGCAGUUCCUGAAGGUACCCUAAGAUGAAUCCCGGAAGCAAACCCAAGGGAAUCUUUACACAAUUCAUGUACGUAUUGCUGGAGGAAUUUCUGGAAGAAUAGGGUCCUAAAAUGAAAAAUAUUUCCCUGUUUUUCUGCAUAAUACGAAGGAGCAUGCUUUUCUGAUCUCAAUGGUAUUUUUUCCGAACUUAAACAGUGACAGAAUAGUUAAUAAACUCGAAAAUAAAAUAUUGAUGAGCAGGUCUUGUUUGACAUACGAGGUCAACCUUGACGUAACGAAAGUGAAACAGCGUGUUGCAAAAGACAUUGGCUCACUUUUGACAACAUUUAAUGUUCCUGUUUGACAUACACGGUAAACAAAAUUUACCCAAAAUUGAGUGCUAAACAAGGAGUGUUGCAAAAAUUCUUAAAAUUUUUGAAAAUAUAUUUUAUGGGCUUUACCUAAUAGGGAUACUUAAAAAAUGAGUAAACGUGUCGUUUUAAUCAAUACUUGAUCGAAUUAUGCAGAAAUUGAGAUAGGCCUUUAGGAGCCUAUUCCAGAAGGAAUUCUUGUUCGAAUCCCAGAGUUCCUGGAAAAAAACCUUUGUGAAAUUUCGAAAAUAAUCCUUGGAGUUGUUUUCUCUUCCCGGAGCUGCUACUGGGAUUUCUUCGGGAAUUAUUUAUGAGAUUCUCUCAGGAAUCCCACAAGAACUUCUUUCGGUAUUUUUCCCGAAAUCUCAUUGUGAUUUUUCCUGGAGUUACUUCCAGGAUUUUUGAAAGAGGUACUUCUGCGAUUGCUUCAGGAAUUCCUUCCGAGAUUUCUCCAACGACCUCUUCCAGGAUUCUUCCCGGAUUCAUUCUGGAACUCCUUCCGGGAUUUCUUCGGGUGGAUCUUUUCCCGCGCUUCUGUCAAGAAUUGUUUCUUGAAUUUCUUCCGAAACUCCAUCGUGCAUUUCUACGGAAACUUCUUCCGGGAUUCCUUUUGGAACUCUUUCUGGACUUUUUCUUGGAACUUAUUCCGGAAACUUCUUCUGGAAUUCUUUAAGAAACUGCUUCCAAAAGUUCUUCGGGAACUCUUGACAGUAUUCAUCUAGUAACUCUUUUCUGAUUUCCUUCAAGAGUUCCGUUUGGAGUGUCGUGUUAGGACAGACACCGUGGCAAUCCGGGUCAACCGAUUCUGCUUGCCGAAACUCUAUUUCGAGGAAGGAUGCAAAUGAUUCAACCUACUCGUGCAAAAUACUUUACAAGACUGGCGUUUCAUUUCAUCAUGAUUCAUGAUCGUUUGCUUUGUUUACCGGUAGCGCAUCACCGCUGUCAAUGAUAUAUGCCCUGUGUCUCGCUUUCUCUGUAUCCCUCUCAAUCCUUUCAUGGAGGUCCUACAAAUCCUUCCGGAAUUCCUCUGGAAGCUCAUUCUGAAAUUUUUUCAGAUGCUUCUAAUGGAAAUCCUUCAAGAGUUUAUCAGGAAGAAUCUUGAGAGAUCCCUCCUGCAGUUUUUGUUCAUAGCAUUCUUCAUAAAGUGCCUACAGGAUUUUUCAUGGGAUUUCCUCAGAAGCUAUUAAGAGAUCCUCGGAUGUAAUACCUGGAGGAUUCCCGGAACUCUAUGAGAAAUCCCGGAAAAAGUACCAUGAAGUCCCAGAAGGAAUCAUGGUAGGAGUUCCUGAGAUGUAACCUAUUGGGAAUCUCAGUAGAAUCUCAGAAUGACUUCAGAGAGAAGUUUAGAAGAAACCCCAGAAAGAAUCUCAGAUAUAGCUCCCUGAGGAAUCACAGAAGGAAAUCCUAGAGGGAUUCUAGAAAAGAAAUGUGAAGAAACCACGAAGACAUCCUGGAAGAAUCUCGGGUAAAAGCGCAGGGGAAAUCUUGCAAGGAAUAAUUCUAGAGGGAUUUCGGAAUUAAUUUAUAGAGAAACUUCAAAGAAAUUUUCGAAAAAGAAACAGGAUUUCCUAAAAUAUUCUCAGAAGGAAACCAGGAAAUCUCUGGAAAAAUCUCGUUAGUACUUCCUGGAGGAAUCUUGGUAAGAGCUCUUGAAGGGAUCCCAGAUGGAACCUCUUUAGGAAUCUCAGAAGAAACUCCUGGAAGAACCCCAGAAGAAACUUCUGAAUGAAUCCUAAAUAAAUCCGCGGAAAAAUCUCAUCAAGAAGUCCCUGGAAAUCCCUCAAGUACCUCCUGGAUGAGUCCUGGAACAAAUUAGCGGAGAAACUUAGAUAGAUUCCUGGGAUUCCUGUGCCGUCAUCAAGUCAAAAAUCCGCACACUUUCCCACGCUCGCGAAUCCCAAAUUUUGAACUAAAUCAAUCCACCUAGCGAAAUUCUUCUAGGUCCGAAAGGUUAUGGAACUCUGUAACUCCGAAUCAUAAACAACAAGGUCACAAAACGUCAAAGUCUUGACAAAAAAUAUCUUAGCAACCGCGACGUCCAGUGCAGUACCGUGUUCCCAUUCACCACUAUCUCAAAGGCCUACUACUGAGCUGAUUGUUUAAAACUUCCCAUCGGGACACUACUGCACAGAACGAUCACAGGCGCCCGCCGCGCCGCCGGCCGUCUUCGUGCAUGCGAAUCUUCCUUCCCAUUCUGGCCUACUGCGAGCGCAAGUCGAAUAAAACAACUUCCAUAGUCAAGCCACGCGGCGGCGAGGCCUGCUGUGUGCAAUCUAUCCAUUUUGCAUGCACUGCACAACACAACACAGAUCCAAGUAUGUAUGUGCUGUUAUUUGUGUACCUACGAAAUGCGCUUGCACUUCAUCCAUGUAUGAACUGACCAUCUCAUCAUCAUCUCCGCAUCUCCAUACGUGCGGCGGACGACGACGACUUUGUGUUUGCUUUGAAGAUUGUUGCUGUUGUUGUUGUUGUUGUUGGUCCUUAGUUCUUGAGUUUGCAUUCACCUACACAAGGAUACUCUGAACUGGGUUCUAGAGUACACUUGGCGGAGAAGAGCACAUACAUGACACGAAAGUGCGAAUAAUUUUGGAAGUCGAUGGACACGAACACGGUUGUUGGAGAAACCCCGGGUGGAGGAGGUAACCUCCGUCAACAUCAACAAGACGACGACGGUCGGUCCCCCGGUUGUCCAGUUCGAUUUGCAUGCAGAUUAGGGUGUUCCAAAGCUGUACAUAGUCAGGAAUCUUGAAAGUUUAUCUUCCAAAUGGUAGUUAAUGAUGUUAGUAUCAAACUUUUGUAUGACAGCAACUUUUGAAAGUGACUUUGAAGGUUACAAAGUUACAAACAUACAGGAGAUUUCUUCUCACAACCUUAGCUACCAUUUGAAGGGUGAGCCUGUAACACUGUUUGGCAAUGAGCAACUUCGGGACACCCUAAUGCAUGUCCUUCUUGGUUAUAAUACGUACGAGGGGGAUUACGAACGAAUCCGAGUCCCACAUAGGGGGAGAAGAUGUCGUCGCAGAUAUGACAUAGGCCUUGAAGACCUUCUUCUUCAUUCCGAAACUGACCAUCGCACUGGACACACUCAGUGGAACGGCCUUCACUGCCUUGACAGGAUUUUUUAAAGUUCAAAACACUGUUCAACAGCCAGUACAAUAGCCUGCUUCCAAGAAUAAAGACUUGCGAAAUGGACACACCCGUUGCCCGAGUUGCUUGGAUGAUCCUCGGCAAGGGUGGACCAUCGCCGUCGCCCCACU
This is a long non-coding RNA of Aedes albopictus (Asian tiger mosquito), 21467 nucleotides long. RefSeq lists it as uncharacterized. The transcript is spliced from 2 exons. The record is from RefSeq and is a predicted model, not a curated record. NCBI's taxonomy places the organism in Eukaryota, Metazoa, Arthropoda, Insecta, Diptera, Culicidae.